Molecule: ribosomal RNA, 253 nt
Filed under: uncultured bacterium
Lineage: Bacteria
Description: partial 16S ribosomal RNA
Rfam family: Bacterial small subunit ribosomal RNA
Source: RNAcentral
UACGGAGGGUGCAAGCGUUGUCCGGAUUUAUUGGGCGUAAAGAGCGUGUAGGCGGCCAUACAGGUCAGCUGUGAAAACUCGAGGCUCAACCUCGAGACGUCGGUUGAAACCGUUUGGCUAGAGUCCGGAAGAGGAGAGUGGAAUUCCCGGUGUAGCGGUGAAAUGCGCAGAUAUCGGGAAGAACACCCGUGGCGAAGGCGGCUCUCUGGGACGGUACUGACGCUGAGACGCGAAAGCGUGGGGAGCGAACAGG